This 427-nucleotide ribosomal RNA is filed under the name uncultured bacterium. RNAcentral's name for it is "partial 16S ribosomal RNA". It matches the Rfam family "Bacterial small subunit ribosomal RNA", at positions 355 to 774 of the family's 1533-position model. The record is from RNAcentral.
UGGGGAAUAUUGCACAAUGGGCGCAAGCCUGAUGCAGCCAUGCCGCGUGUAUGAAGAAGGCCUUCGGGUUGUAAAGUACUUUCAGCGGGGAGGAAGGCGAUGCGGUUAAUAACCGCGUCGAUUGACGUUACCCGCAGAAGAAGCACCGGCUAACUCCGUGCCAGCAGCCGCGGUAAUACGGAGGGUGCAAGCGUUAAUCGGAAUUACUGGGCGUAAAGCGCACGCAGGCGGUCUGUCAAGUCGGAUGUGAAAUCCCCGGGCCCAACCUGGGAACUGCAUCCGAAACUGGCAGGCUUGAGUCUCGUAGAGGGGGGUAGAAUUCCAGGUGUAGCGGUGAAAUGCGUAGAGAUCUGGAGGAAUACCGGUGGCGAAGGCGGCCUCCUGGACGAAGACUGACGCUCAGGUGCGAAAGCGUGGGGAGCAAACA